GACGAACGCUGGCGGUGUGCUUAACACAUGCAAGUCGAACGGAAAGGCCCUGCUUUUGUGGGGUGCUCGAGUGGCGAACGGGUGAGUAACACGUGAGUAACCUGCCCUUGACUUUGGGAUAACUUCAGGAAACUGGGGCUAAUACCGGAUAGGAGCUCCUGCUGCAUGGUGGGGGUUGGAAAGUUUCGGCGGUUGGGGAUGGACUCGCGGCUUAUCAGCUUGUUGGUGGGGUAGUGGCUUACCAAGGCUUUGACGGGUAGCCGGCCUGAGAGGGUGAACGGCCACAUUGGGACUGAGAUACGGCCCAGACGCCUACGGGAGGCAGCAGUGGGGAAUAUUGCACAAUGGGCGGAAGCCUGAUGCAGCAACGCCGCGUGCGGGAUGACGGCCUUCGGGUUGUAAACCGCUUUCGCCUGUGACGAAGCGUGAGUGACGGUAAUGGGUAAAGAAGCACCGGCUAACUACGUG
This 468-nucleotide ribosomal RNA is filed under the name uncultured bacterium. RNAcentral describes it as "partial 16S ribosomal RNA". It matches the Rfam family "Bacterial small subunit ribosomal RNA", at positions 28 to 507 of the family's 1533-position model. The record is from RNAcentral.